Molecule: ribosomal RNA, 274 nt
Filed under: uncultured bacterium
Lineage: Bacteria
Description: partial 16S ribosomal RNA
Rfam family: Bacterial small subunit ribosomal RNA
Source: RNAcentral
AUACGGAGGGUGCAAGCGUUAAUCGGAAUUACUGGGCGUAAAGCGUACGUAGGCGGUUUAUUAAGUCAGAUGUGAAAGCCCCGGGCUUAACCUGGGAACUGCAUUUGAAACUAGUAGACUAGAGUAUGGCAGAGGGGGGUAGAAUUCCUAGUGUAGCGGUGAAAUGCGUAGAUAUUAGGAGGAAUACCAGUGGCGAAGGCGGCCCCCUGGACCAAUACUGACGCUGAGGUACGAAAGCGUGGGGAGCGAACAGGAUUAGAAACCCCUGUAGUCC